This is a long non-coding RNA of Humulus lupulus (European hop), 3492 nucleotides long. RefSeq lists it as uncharacterized. The transcript has 2 exons. The record is from RefSeq and is a predicted model, not a curated record. NCBI's taxonomy places the organism in Eukaryota, Viridiplantae, Streptophyta, Magnoliopsida, Rosales, Cannabaceae.
GGUAAUAGAUGAUUGUUGUCUAAAGGAGAUAGACUAUGAAGGAGGUCAGUUUACCUAGUGUUAUGGAAGGGAGGCAAACUUGAUUUUUGAAAGAUUAGAUAAAGUUUUGUGUAACAAAGAUUGGGAUCAGUUGUUUGUGGUUUCUAAAGUUUGUCACUUGCGUCCCUGGAACUCGGACCACAUACCUCUUUUACUCAUGUUUAACUCUACUCCUCCUCAACUUGCUCAGUCUCGGCCCAUUUGGAGGUCUAGGCUCCACUUUGAGCAGGCUUGGACUUCUAAGGAAACUUACCAGGAAGUCAUCCAAGAGUGUUGGCAGUGUUCAAAAGCAUCCUUAUAGCCAGGGAUUUACGCCAUAAAAUUUAAGUUUGUGGUUCCAAACUCAUCGUUGGAAUAGAAACUAUAAAAAUGAGCUGAACAAAAAGAAACAGAGUCUUCAACUAGAGAUAGAAGUUCUUUCAAGCUCGUGGGAGGGAUCUGAUUGGCUGCAAAAUCAUAUUUUGAGUAAGAGCCUUGAUGCGGUGUUGGAAAAGGAAGAGCUAAUUUGGCACCAACGAAGUAGGGCCCUUUGGCUAAGGUGUGGAGACCAAAACACAAGGUUCUUCCAUAGCAAAUCCUCGGAUAAAAGAUAGAAAAUGAAAUAAAUGGUUUAUUUGAUAACAAUAUUGUUUGCCAGGACUCAAAUGAAGAGUGCCCACUUAUAUGAAUGAAGAACUUCUUUGCCCUUUUUCCGAAGAUGACAUCAAAAAGGCUAUGUUUCAGAUCCACUCUUUAAAAAGCCCCUGGUUCGGAUGGUCUUCCUGGGUUAUUUUUUCAAUCUCAUUGGGACUUGGUGGGUCCUACGGUCACAAGGGUUUGCCUAAAUAUCCUUAACAACGAUGGGGAUUGUAGGGCUCUUAAUGCCACUCUUAUUUGUCUUAUUCCAAAGAAAGAGAAGUUGGUUCACUUACUUGAUUUUCGCCCCAUUAGUCUCUGUAAUGUGGUGUACAAAGUGAUUUCCAAGUGUCUUGCCAAUAGGAUGAAGGAAAGCUUGCCUCUUGUUAACUUGAAAAACCAAAGUGCUUUUAUUGGAGGUCAGUUGAUUCAAGAUAAUGCCAUCAUUGGCUUUGAAAGUCUCAAUACUAUGAAGAAAGGGUAGUUCGGUAAUGGCAAAAAGAUGGCUUUAAAAUUAGACAUGUUUAAGGCUUAUGAUAGGGUGGAAUGGAAGUUUGUUGAAGUAAUGAUGUGUUGCCUUGGUUAUGAGGAGGAUUGGAUCCACAAAAUCAUGAAUUGUGUUAUCCCCAUCUCCUUUUCCAUUUAAAUGGUGAAGUUCGUGGUUUGGUUACUCCUCAACGGGGUUUAAGACAAGGAGACCCUCUCUCUCCCUAUCUUUUCCUUCUUUGUUCCGAGGGGCUGUCUUGCCUAAUUCAAGAAGCUAGAUAUCAAGCAUAUAUAAGUGGUGUUCUUUUUGGCAAAAAUGGUUUAAGAGUUUCUCAUUUAUUUUUUUCGAUGAUACCUUUAUUUUUCUUAACUCUUGUCCUAAUGAAGAUGCAGCAAUAAAGCUAUUCUUGACGUUUAUGCUUCAGUUUUAGGUCAGAAAAUUAAUUUGGAGAAGUUGAAAGUUUUUGUGGGAAAGAGCAUUUCUCAAGCAGAAGCUCGGAACUUGGCUGCUUCUCUUGGAGUUACUCUUAUUGACUGUCACUCUAAAUAUUUGGGCAUGCUAGCCUUUGUGGGGAAAAGAAAGAAAGAAGUGUUUGCUAUGAUUAAGCAAAACAAUUGGAAUAAACUUAGAGAAUGGAAAGCCAAUCUCUUCUCUCAAGCGGGUAGAGAAAUCCUUAUCAAGGCUGUUGUACAAGCAAUUCCUUGUUACAUUAUGAGCUGUUUUCGCAUUCCAAAGUGCUUAAUUAAGGAAAUUCAUGCCAUGGCUACUCAGUUUUGGUGGGGCUCCUCUCUCCACAAGAAGAAGAUUCAUUGAAGUUGGGAAAAGUUGUGUAAGGAGAAGAACAAAGGCGGUUUGGGGUUUCAAAAUUUGGAAGAUUUUAAUCGUGCUUCUUACUAAACCAAGGUUGAAUUUAAUUUCUAAGCCUUCCUCCCUUCUAGCCCACAUCCUCAAUGAAUGCUACUUUGUGAAUGAAGACUUUUUGAAUGCUAAAACUAGUUCCUACAGUUCAGUCAUUUGGAGAAGUAUUUUAUGGGGGGUGAAGUGCUCAAAAAAGGAAUUCGUUGGCGUAUUCAAAAUGGGGCUUCAGUUAGAAUCAAUGAGGAUACUUGGCUUCCCCGUCUAAAGACCUUUACUUUGCAAUUCAAAGCUCUAGUUCCUCCUAACACAAUGGUUAGUUUUCUUUUAGAUGACAAUGGGGACUGGAAUACUCAUAUGGUUACUAAGGUUUUCUAUUAGGAUGAUGUUCCUUGGAUAUUGGGAAUUGUUCCUGUAGGCAUUAAACAACAAGAUGAUAUGUGUUGGAGUUUCACUAAAGAUGGUAGAUAUACAGUGAAAACUGGUUAUAAACUGGCUAGAAGUUUGACUGUUGUAGCUGAAAGUUUGAAUGAUGAUCACCUAGUGAGUUGGUGCAGAAAUCUUUGGCAUUUGGAUCUGCCUCCUAAAGUUAAAAAUUUCUGGUGGAGGGUUUGUCACAAUUGGCUUUUCAUGUCCAGAAUAAUCUUCUCAAGAAAGGUCUUGAUCUUUCCCAUAAUUAUUUCAGAUGUCAGGGUAAUCCCGAAACUAUAGUUCAUGCUCUUUGGGGUUGUAGGAGUGUUAAGAAAAUUUGGGAUUCGGUUAAUUUGUUACAGCUCUUCCCUUAUAACAGCUUUGAUCCUUUUGAUUUUUCUUUGAGUGUUUGGUCUCGCUGCUCUAAGUAGGAUUUUAUGGUUUUCUGCAUCUUAUCUUGGGCGGUGUGGUCGAGAAAAAAUAAGUUGCUUCAUAAUUUGGUGAUGCCAAAUGAGUUGGACUUUGUUAAUUGGUCCUUACAGCUCCUUACGGACUAUGAAAGUAAGGGUAACAGUCAUAACAAAAGAGAGAAGUUGAAGUGGCAAGCCCCUCCUCCUGGGAAAAUACGAAUUGACUGUGAUGCUUCGCUUGGGAGAGAGUCCAUGGGUUGUGGCUUAGGUGUUGUGGCUCAGGACCAUGGAGGUAAAGUUCUUGUUUCUCAAUCGGUAUAUAAACCUGGGACUUUUUCAGUGGAGCUAGCUAAGAGUUUAGCCGUUCAGCUGGGUUUUUAGUUGGCCAACAAUCUUCGUUUGAAUUAUUUCCAGCUUUCCUCGGAUUGUGGGACAGUGAUAAAAGUUUUGAAUUGUACAGAUACAACUCUGACUAAUUAGUCCUCAGUCAUUGAUACUAUUAAGGAUUGCCCUACGUAUACUUUAUGCAGUUUUAUUUUUCAUUCUUUUAGGGAAGCUAAUAGGGUAGCUCACAUUAUUUCUAAGUUUGCUUGUACUAAGUUUGUUUCUGAGUUGUAGUUGGGCUCUGUUUGUGCCUCUGCUUUGAUUCAAGCAAAAUUGCCUUAGUUGGUGUUU